RNAcentral lists this ribosomal RNA (253 nucleotides) under uncultured bacterium. Its description in RNAcentral is "partial 16S ribosomal RNA". It matches the Rfam family "Bacterial small subunit ribosomal RNA", at positions 524 to 776 of the family's 1533-position model. The record is from RNAcentral.
UACAGAGGUGGCAAGCGUUGUUCGGAAUUACUGGGCGUAAAGCGCGCGUAGGCGGCUUUGCAAGUCGGGUGUGAAAUCCCCAAGCUUAACCUGGGAACUGCAUUCGAGACUGCAUUGCUAGAGUAUGGGAGAGGGAAGUGGAAUUUCCGGUGUAGCGGUGAAAUGCGUAGAUAUCGGAAGGAACAUCAGUGGCGAAAGCGACUUCCUGGACCAAUACUGACGCUCAUGUGCGAAAGCGUGGGGAGCAAACAGG